Molecule: long non-coding RNA, 19007 nt
Filed under: Cicer arietinum (chickpea)
Lineage: Eukaryota; Viridiplantae; Streptophyta; Magnoliopsida; Fabales; Fabaceae
Description: long non-coding RNA (CARI_LNC003543)
Source: RNAcentral
GUAUACAAUAUACAAAUAGUUAUCAUGUAUGUACACAUAAUUACUUUCUUACUAUAUAUAUAAUUAAUUUAAUAAAUAUUGUAAUUUAAUUUAUUUGCAGGUUAUGCAAAAGACUCAAAGAAAAAUGUUUGGGUAGAUAAGCUUGAUGGUACCCAAAGAACCAAGGAUAUAAAACCUUUUGAUCCAAAUAAGCCCAUUGGUGCGGGAAAUAAAACAAGGGAAGAAAGGAUGAUGGAAAAGGAGGCAAAGAAGAAGGAAAAGGAAAAGAUAGAAAAGAAUCAUGGGAAAGGGAAAGGGAAAUGAUAGGCCAAUUAACCCUAAAAACUAGAUGCACAACUUAUAUCUCAUGCUUAUGCAUUAUUAGUUGUUAAAAAAUAUAUAUAUAUAAUAAAACAUACACUAUAAUCAUUACAUGAUUGGGUGAAUGAAUAAUAAUAAUAAUAAUAAGAUUGAUGUUGUAUACCUUUCAAAAAAAUAUUGAUGUUUUCUAUACCAUCUAUAAUUGUUUUGGUAAACUUAUGUACGUGAUAAUUUAUUUUUAUUAUAGCAGAUUCGUCUCUUUAAUCUAAUGUAGUUCCUUAAUUUAUCAUUCACGCAAAACUAAUUAAUUAUUUUUUAUUAACAAAUGUUAAAGUGAAAAUCCAUCUUGAAUUAUUAUUAAUAGUUUUAAUUUUUUACAAUAAUUUUUAUUAAAAAUAAUGCAAUUCAUGAUCAUCUUCUUUCAAUAAAUAUUAGAUUUAUCAUACCCAUUAGACAAACAACUUUUUAAAACUGAACCUAAGAAAUAAGAAUUCAAAUUUAUGAUUAUAAAUGAACAAAGAGUAGAAAUAUACCGAUACAAAAUAUCCCAUCCUACGAAAUAAAAUUAUUCACCCGAGAACUAAACCAUUUGAAUUUAUAAAGGUCAAAGAUUAAACCAUUUGAAUUUGUCCCAAAGAAACAUUUGAAUUCUUAUUUCUUUGAAUUUCUCAAUGUUAGUAUGUUAUUAUAAUUUUUUAUUUCUAUACUAAUUCUUAUUUCUUAGUAUGUCUAGUCUUCUAUAGUUUCACUUGCUUACGGUUUAAAGGCUAAUUUUUAAAAGAGUCUUCUUUUGGGGAUCAAUGUGAAUGAUUCUUGGUUGAAGAGGCGAUAGAGAUAUUGUAUCACUCCAAAUUUUAUAAUAAAUUAUUUUACUAAUGAAAUAUAAUUUUAAAUAAUUAAGUUGAUGUUAAAUUUUUUUUAAGAUAUAUGUUAAUUAAAUUUAGGAUUAAUUUUUUUAUAUGAUGUUUUAAUCUUGUAAAUGUUAGACUAAAUGAGUGAUAUAAAUAUCAAAUAUUAUAUUUUUAUAUUUUUCUAAAAACAAUAAUAUUUUAUAUGUUAUAAGAUUUAAGGUGAUUCUACUUGCAUAUGUGCGAUUUUAGUUAAUUUGAUAUUUCCUUGUAUGCUGGCUAAGGUUAAGUGUGCACACAAUUAUAUUUAAUUAUUUUUAAAUAUAUUUUAUUUUAAUUAAUUAUUUUACAAAAUAAUAUCUUGAGAUAUUAGUAAUAUUGAUAUUGAUUUUCUUUAUUUCUAUAUUGUUAUUACGGUUUGAUGAUUUUAUACAUAUUCCUUUUGAUUUAGUAAUUAAUAUAAAUCGUUGAUGUUAUAUUUAUUUAUUUUAUCAUUUCGACUAUUCUGUAAAGAUGAUGCAUUUUUAUGUGAUUAUUUCAAAAAAUAUUAUAGUAAUAAUUAUAAUUACUAUUUUGAGUAUGAGAGUUUUUAUUAAAAUUUGAUUUAUUUAUUUUACGGAAAAAUAAUAUUAUGUUAAAAAGUGUGUUUUGGAGAAAAAGUCUUUAGUGUGGAUAAGUAAAAUAAAUUAUUUAUUAAGGACUUUUAGAAAUACUAGAAAAUGAAUUUUGGACUAGAUGACUAUUUACACCCCUAUUGUUUUACUUCUGCAUAUUAAUUUGAGCUAUUACUGGUUGAACUUUUAUUUCCUACACCAGUUGCCUCAUAUGUGUACAUCUGCUAUCUGCAUUCAUCCUUCUGCAAUUAAAAAAAAUAAAAAAACGAAAAUCAUACUAAUGGCAGCCAAACAAUUUUUUUCUCUCAAAUUCACUCCGACCAAUUCUUUGUCGUUUGAAUCUAUCCCAACCUCUGUCCCACACAAAAUUGGCCACAUAAUUCAUUUUUGGCAUCAAUUUUAUCGGUCGUGGCUCCAUUUCAUGAGAAACAACUAUGUUUCUUUCGUUAGGAGAGCUGUUUUUGGCCAAUUUUGAUCACCAUGUUUGUCGUCUAAAAAAAAUGGUAUCGUUUUUGGAUUUCUCUCGUCGAAACCUUCAACAAGCACUAUUCAUUUGUAUUUUUCGGUAAAGUUGGCAUCGAACUCUUCUGGAGCUCCUAUGAGUCGAUGAGACGUUUUUUUUUGUAGUCUUUCUUAUUGUUUUGAUUCCAUUUUGACUACCUAAAAUUAUUAUUAAUUAUUUAACAACUAUUGUUAUGUUCCAUAUAAUUUAUCAGUCGCGUCUCGCGAAUUUGUGAACUCGCUCGUUUAUUCGAAUUCGCACGUUGUACCUUGUCGGUCUGCAGUUGCGGUUGAAAACUUCCAUUAAUAUCAAUGUUUGAGAAAACGUUGAAAGAAUGUUUCAAUUCAUGAAUAUAACAUAUUUUGAGAUGAACGGGAAAACUAAAUUUCCCAACAAUUUUGAGAUGUACGGCAGUAGCCUUUUGAGGGAUAAAUUAAUUAAUAUGAAAAUAUGAAAAUUGUGAGAAUAAAAUGUGAAAUGUACAUAUUUAUAAGGUGUUGAUUGAUUUAAUUUUAUUAAAUGUGUCAUAUUUGAUAUUGUUGUGAUAUUGACGUAUUUUUGUGAUAAUAAAAUAUUAAUUUAAUUUGAUAAAUUUAUGUGAUUAUGAUGAUGUAUAAUUAAUAAGAGUGAUGUAAUAAAUUUGUAAUAAGUUUAUGUGAUGAGAUAUGAUUAACGACAGUGAUGUUGUGAAUUUCUGACGAGAAUAUUGAAGUGACCCCAUAGUUGGUGAAAUAGUUGCAAUUCCAAUUUGUGUUUGAAAUGACGGUCUUAAUAGACUAUCAUAGGCCAAAGAUGGAAGAAAAUAAAUAUUAAAAAUAUUUGAAGUGGAGAUUAGUUUGUCAUAAUAUAAGUAAGGUCUUACAAGCCUAGUGAUUUCGGGAAAGUACAACUGAAUGAGUUUGAUCGUGACAGUCUGAUGUGAGCCUUAAAGCAAAAUUGUUAGACCUUGGAGAUAUUUUGGAGGAGAAUUCCUACUUGACUAGAAGGAUAUCAGUCCAAAUGUCGACAGCUACCAUGCAACACACAUUUACCUCGGCUGUCGCAUAUAUGUGUCUUGGGUUGAGUUGAGAGGAUCUACAAGGACACAAUCAAUUUGAAAUGUCCGUCCACCUGGAUGGUGUCAUAGUAUCAAGCCGCCUAACCAAGUAUUUCAUAGUUAAAAUGGUACCAAAUUGGGAAUUAGAGUCUAAGCUCAUGCAUAACAUUGCAUUUUCUUGUAAUUGUUUUGGUGUGAUUAAUAGGUACCGUGUGCGAUAAUAGUUUCUCUUAGUUGAUUUGAUGUAAUAGUAAAAUGUAUUGAUUUUCUUUGAGUGUUUUUGACUUUAUAAUGUGAGGUAUUUCCUUGAACAAUCUCUGUGUAAUGAUAUAGUUUAUUUAUGAAUAAUUGUGUAUUUUUCUUACGUACUUUUAUUAUACUAUUAACAUGAUUUUAAAACUCACCUCCUCGCGGUUAUUAUAGGUUAAUGAGUCUUGAAGUUCAAGUUGGGAUAAACCUCACUCUCAUAGGUGAUAUCGUGAAUAUGAGUUUUAAAUUGUAUUUUACUUUUCCAUUUUUUUUUAUUAGAAAUGACUUUUUGUAUGAAAAUCUUAUAAGUACUAGUAAGUUUUUGGAAUUAAAUUAAGAAAUUUUAGUUUAAUCAAGUGUAUGGAGAUUGCAUCUUUUAUAAGAGGAAAGAGUUUAAAGUGUUUCUUUUGAAUUUUGAGAAAUGUGAUAUCAUAAAUUAAUUAUAAAAGUUUUUUAUUUACUUGAAAAUAUAUUUUCUUUAUUCGCUGCUAAUGUACCAAAAACAAAAAAAUCAACUGUAAAUUAUUAUAUAUUAUUUUGGGAUUUAGGAUGUCACAUUAGUGAUAUCAGAGCAUGGUUGUCCAAUCAGACUGAGUGGGUCGAGUGUCGAUUCAUUAGUCGAAUGUUAGUCAUGUCGGUUGUGUAUUAAUAUUUUUCAAUAUCAUAUUUUUUUUUCUACUUAUAUUAUUGUGUUAUGCACAAUAUGCUUUUGAUUACUUAUAAUAUUUUUGAAGUUACUAAUUAACUAUUUAUUGUUGGCUUAUUUUGAUUGUACUGCGCAUUCUUAAUUUAUGUCUAAGAUUUUAGACGAUUCUACGUGCAUAUGUGCGUUUGUACUUAAUUUGAUAUUUUCUUGUAUGCUGACAAAUGUUAAGUGUGCACAUAAUUAAAUUUAAUUAUUUUUAAAUGUAUCUUAUUUUAAUUAAUUAUUUUAUAAAUAAUUAUCUAGAGAUAUUAGUAAUAUUGAUAUUGAUUUUCUUUAUUUCUAUUUAGUUUUUAUGGUAUGAAGAUUUUAUACAUAUUUAUUUUGAUUUAGUAAUUAAAAAUAAUUAUUAAUUUAUAUUUAUUUAUUUGGUCAAUGUGACUAUUCUAUAAAGAUGAUGUAUUUUAUGUGAUUAUUUUAAAAAAUGUUAUACUAAUAAUUAAAGUUAUUAUUUUGCGCAUGAAAGUUUUGAUUAAAAUUGGAUUUAUCUAUGUUAAGGAAAAAUAAUAUUAUGUUAAAACGAGUCUUUUAAAGAAAAAGUUUCUAAUGUGGUUAAGGAAAAUAAAUUAUAUAUUAAGGACUUUUAGAAAUAUUAGAAAAUAAAUUUUGGACCAGACGAUUGUUUACAGCACUAUUUUCUAUUUCUGCAUAUUAAUUUGGGCUAUUACUGGUUGGACUUUUAUGUUGCGAGGAUAACUCUAUCCUGCACCCCCAUACCUAAACUUGUCAACCCCUCAAGACACAUGAAAAAAUAAUUUUACCCUUUUAACCAUUUAUAAUAAGUUUCAAAAUUGUUAGUUUCGGAAAUUAUAAAUUUGCGAAACUUUCUAAAUUUUCAAAUUCUUGAAAUAAAGAUUGCAUUUCAAAAAUUUGGAAAGUUUUCAUAUUUGGAAAUUUUCAAAAUAAGGAUUACAUUUCAAAAAUUUGGAUUGUUCCGAAAGUUUUCAAAUUUGAAAAUUUUGAAAGUUUCUAAAUCUAGAAAGUUUCAAAAAAUGUAUAUGUCGAAAGUUUUGAAUUGUUUGAAAGUUUUGAAAAAUCUAGAAUUUUCUAUUUCAAAAGUUUUGAAUUUUUCUAAAGUUUCAAAUUGUUCUAAAUAGGAGAAUUUAUAUUCGUUCCCAAGUAAUUGUAUAUCAUUACUUGCUUCUUCACUAUUCAUGAUAAAUAAGUAUGAUAAUAAUCUAAAUAUUUCAAUUAUAGGUGUUGUGCAAGAAAAAUGAGAUAUUAUAAUUUUUAGGAUUUGGAUAUAGAUUUGAGAAUUUAGGAUUUGAAGAUAAAAAAAUUAGGAUUGAAGAUGAAUGUUGUUGAGUUUUUAUUAAAAAAUUUGGGGUUGAAGAUGAAGAUUAUUGAGUUUUUAUUAUUUAAUUGGUUUAUUAUGAAUUAGUUUUAAAAUUUUAAUUAAAUGAUUAAAUGAGUUAAUAAAAUGAAUUUUAAUUUUAAAUAUUAAAUAAUGUCUAGUCAACAACAAUCAAACGGUCACCACGUGACACUUCAUCAAAAAUUAGUGAUGUCACAGUUUUUUUACUAAAAAAGAUUUAGAAAUGACUUUAUUAAAAUUUGUUAGCAUUUGCAAGGGUAUAAAUCAAAAAAAAAAUUAUAGGGACUAAUAUGAAAACAAAAUAUAUUUACAAGGACCAAAAACAUAUUUAAGCCAAUUUUUUAUGUUUGAGUUUGAUCUUUAUGAUAGUCUAGGACGACUUGUUAGUCUAUUUCAUAUUAAUAUGUUUAAAUAAUUGUUUAGAAACGAUUUUUAGUAGAUUAAGAAACUAAUAUGUCCACAAAUUUUAUUUUAUUUUUAUUUUUAUUUUUAUAUUUAUAUUUACGCGAAUUCUUAAAGAAUUUAAUUUUAUAUAACAUAUUAUUUCAUUCUUUUUUUAUGAUGAUAUAUUUAAAUGUGACAAAAUUUAAUGUAAAAUAACAUAAUUAAAUUACUUAAAUGUUAAAAAAUUUAUAAAUUGUCAUAAAAUACAAAAUAUAUUAUAUAAUAAUAAUAAUAAAAUAUAUAAUUUAUAUUUACUUAAUUAAGUCAGUCUAAUAAGCCAAAAAACUAUUUUAUGACUUGUAGUAUGACUUUUAUUUAUUUAUUUUAUAAAAAUUCUAGUUUGGUAUAGACUUGUAGUAGGAUAGGCCAUAGGACUCUAUUGGGCGGCGUGGUAGAAAGGAAAACAACAACUCAAUUAAGUCUAAGGAUUCAAUAAUUAAAUCUAUCGAAAACUAAAUUCAUAGCAUAUAUCUCAUGCUCAUGUAAUAACUAAUGUGUUAAAAAAUGUAAAAUAGAGCAUAGACAAUAAUCGAAAACAACACGUCAAUUAAGUCUAAGGAUUCAAGAAUUAUAUCUAUUGAAAACUAAAUGCAUAGCAUAUAUGCUCAUGUAAUAACUGAUGUGUUAAAAAAUGUAAAAUAGAGCAUAGACUAUAAUCAUUGCAUGAAUAAAUUAUAAAAAGAUUGAUGUUGUAUAUCCUGAAAGCAUGAAUAUGCUGAAACAACAUAUUACGUUGCACAACAUAAAAUUACUCAACCAAAUAAUAAAUCAAUUGAAUUUAUGUAGAUCAAAGAUUUUGAGUUUGCCAAAAAAAUAUAUUUAAAUUUAUAAAGAUAAUCAGAUUACUCAAUCAAAUAAACUAAGCAAAAAACUCAAAGACAGAGCUAGAAGAAGGACCAUCACUGGCCAUACCCAUGGUCCCACAAAUUUUAUAAAUAUUAUUAAUAUAUUAUUAUAAUUUUUAUCUUUAUACUCAUUUUUUAUUAAAUUUAUAUAACAUUUUAUAAUAUGUCUUUUUUAUUCAAUAUAUUGAAUGUUAUAUAAUUAAAAAAAAAUUAUUCUGUAAUUGUAACUAUAUAAUAUUACUAAAUUGUAUAGAUUAUUUCGUAUAAAACCAUAUAAAAAAAAGUGACUUGAUUAAAUUACCCCAUAGAAAUAGAGUAUAAUACCCUAAAUUUUAUAAGAAACUAUUUUAUUAAUUAAAUAGGAUUUUAAAUAAUUAAUUUGAUGUUAAAAUUAUUUUAAUCUUUAUACUUAUUUUUCAUUAAUUUUAUAUAAUAUUUUAUAAUAUGUCUUUUUUAUUCAAUAUAUUGAAUGUUAUAUAAUUAAAAAAAAUUAUUCUGUAAUUGUAACUAUAUAAUAUUACUAAAUUGUAUAGAUUAUUUCGUAUAAAACCAUAUUAAAAAAAGAGACUUGAUUAAAUUACCCCAUAGAAAUAGAGUAUAAUACCCUAAAUUUUAUAAGAAACUAUUUUAUUAAUUAAAUAUGAUUUUAAAUAAUCAAUUUGAUGUUAAAAUUAUUUUAGAAUAUCUGUUGAUAAAUUUUGUGGCUAAUUUUCGUUAUAUCGAUGUUUUCUAUGAUGUGUUAGUUUGAUAGAUACUAUAUUAAAUGAGCGAUAUAAAUAAUAAAUAUUUUUUUUAAAUAAUAGUAUUUAGUGUAAUAUUUUAAAGAAUAAUAUUUUAUACAAUUUUAAGUGUAUAUGUGAGUUGAUAAUUAAUAUGAUUAUUUUCUUAUAUAUUUGACUAAUGUUAAGUGUGUACAUAUUUAUAUUUUAAUCAUUUUUAAGUAUCUCUUAUUUUAAUUAUUUCUAAAUAUAUCUUACUUUAAUUAUUUAUUCUAUAAAUAAUUAUCUUGAGAUCGUAGUAAUAUUGUAUUUGAUUUUCUUUAUUUUUAUAGACUUAUUUUGGAAUUGUGAUUAUGUAUAUAUAUAUAUAUAUAUAUAUAUAUAUAUAUAUUAUGAUUUAGUAAUUAACAUAAAGUAUUGAUGUUAUAUUUAUUUAUUUUAUAAUUUUGACUAUUCUCUAAUGAUAAUAUUAUUCUAACGUGAGUAUUUUGAAAAAUAAGUAAAAUUAUAGUGAUUAAUUUGAAUGUGAGAAUUUGGUUGUUAUUAAUAUGUAUUUCUUUUUAAAGGUUAAUUAUUUUAAUUACUCUAAUUCAUCAUAUAUUAGUUAUGAAAUAUUAGUAACGUUUUGAAAAUUUAUUGAUGUUUGGAAGAGUAUUAAAAAUGAGUUUAAGUAACAAUUGAUUUUGUUAUAGCAAAAUAAAAAUCAUAACAGUAAAACAUAAAAUAAAUAAGGAGACCGAUGGGUUUGACCCAUAUAUGUUAACCCUAAUUAUGUCGAUAAAAUAAAAAAUAAAGAAUAAGAAAUGGAGCUUCAACAGCCGUAGAACCAAAGAGUAAACAUAACAACAACCUAUCGUUUGACAUCGGUGAUCGAGACCUGUUCCAGAAAAGUUUCUCCGUUUUCGUCCAAAUUUCAGUAUGUUGUUUUACUCAUUUAGCUAGUCAAUUGAACACAAUUUUCUAGAUUUUUAACAACCCAAAUUUUGCUCUAAAAUACCUAAUUUCUCUGGUUUUAGAAUUAAUUAUUUUGCAUCGUUCUCCUUCACCGUAAAUCCGAUUUCAGUGAAAUCAACGCCAAAACGACUGGGUGAAAAGUGGCUAUAUUAUCCCUUGAUUGCUUUUCUAAUUUAUGGUAAGUUUCCUUGAUCGAAUUUCGAAAUUUAGUUUUUAGAGUGCCUUCUCAUAAUUUAAUUUAACGUUCACCCAUAAAUUGUCGAGUUAGAUCGAUUGAAGGACAAAGGUUGUUUUCUUGAGGAAUCAUAUUCAUGUGCGAAAGCGUCAAAAUAAGGUAAGGGGUGAGAGAGCAUUUGAAUUCAUGAGUAUAAUAUAAUUUGAGAUGAACGGGAAAACCGUAUUUCCCAACGAUUCAUUCGGGGCUCACUACGUACGGCAGUAGCCCUUUGAGUGAUAAAUUGAUUAAUGUAAAAAUAUGGGAAUUGUGAGAUUAAAAUAUGCAAUAGAAAUAUUUAUAGGGUGUUGAUUGAUUUAACUUCGUUAAAUGUGUGAUAUUUGAUAUUAUUGUGAUGUUUGAUUAUUAUUUUUUUAUUAAAUGUGUGAUAUUUGAUAUUAUUGUGAUAUUAGAUGUUGAAUGAAUUUUAUGUAUAUGUUUGAUUAGAAGUGUUUAUGUGAUGUGAUACUAAAAAUUGAAUUCAUUUUGAUACGUUUGUGUGAUUAUGAUGAUGUAUAAUUAAUAAUAAUGAUGUUAUAAUUUUGUGUCAAGCCUAUGUGAUGAUGUAUGAUUGAUGAUAGUGAUGCUAUAUAUUUGUAAUGAGUUUAUGUGAUGAGAUAUGAUUAAUGAUAUUGAUGUUGUGAAUUUUUUAUGAGUAUUUAAGUAACCCCAUAGUUGGUAAAAUAAUUGUGAUUCCAAUUUGUGUUUGAGAUGACGGUCUUAAUGAAUUAUCAUAGGCCAACGAGGGGAGAAAAUAAAUAUUGAGAAAUAUAAAGUGAAUAUUAUUUUGUCAUCAUAUCGGGAAGGUCUGACAAGCCUAGAAAUUUCGGGGAAGUACAACUAAAUGAGCCUGAUCAUGGCGGUGUGCUGUAGAGCCUUCAGGCAAGAUUGUUAGACCUUGGAGGUAUUCGUGUGGGGAAUUUCUAGGUGACUUGGAGGUAGCACUCCAAAUGUCGGGAGCUACCACGCAACACACGUUUACCUCGACUGUUACGUAUAUGUGUCUCGGGUUGAGUUGAGGGGAUCUAUGAGGACAGGGCCAAUUUGAAUUGUCCGUCCACUGGGAUGGUGGCAUAGUAUCAAGCCUCCUAACCAAGUACUUUAGAGUUAGAAUAGUAUCAAGCCUCCUAACCAAGUAGAGUCUAAGCUCACGCGUAGCAUUGCAUUUUAUUGUGAUUGUUUUGUUGUGAUUAAUAUGUAUCGUGUGUGGUAUUAAUUUAUCUUAGACGAUUUCAUGUUAUAGUGAAAUUUAUUAAUUUUCCUUGAGUGAUUUUGAGUUUUUAAUGUGAUAUUUUCUUGAUGGAAUGUUUGUGUAAUGAUAAGGUUCUAUUAUGAUUGUUUGUGUGUUCUUGUUACUUGUAUUAUACUUUUAUCAUGAUUUCGAAACUCACCUCCUUCGUUGUUUGUGUUUGACUAGCGUGGCCCUGCCUUUGCAAAAUCGCAGUUAUUACAGGUUAAUGAGUCUUGAAGUUCAAGUUUGGGAGGAACCUCGCUCUGAUAGGUGAUACAGGGAAUAAGGGUUUUAAUUUGUAUUUUACUUAUUUAAUUUGAAAAGAAUUUUUGUAUGAAAAUCUUAGAAGUACUAGUAAAUUUUUAAAAUUAAAUCAAGUAAUUAUACUUAAAUGAAGCUUAUUGAGAUUGCACUAUUUUAAUGAGGAAAAUAAGUUUAAAGUGUUCUUUUUAUUUUUGAGAAACGUGAUAUCCGAAUUAAAAAUAAAAGUUUUUAUUUUCUUGGAAAUAGAUUUUUAUUUAUCCGCUACAAAUUUUAUAGGAAUAUGAUAUGAUUUAUUAUAUAUAUUAUUUUGGGGUUUAGGGUGUUACAUUUGUGGUAUCAGAGCAGGCCUGUCCAAUCAGGCCGAGUGGGUUGAGUGUCGAUUCAAUGUGAGUCAGACGUCAGUCGUAUCAAUUGUAUUUUCUUGUGUAUUGAUUAUUUUCAGUAUCAUGUUUUUUUCUCUCGUUAUAUUAUUGUCUUAUGUGAUGUAUGCUUUUGUAUAAUUGUACAUAUUUUUGAAGUUACUAAUUAACUAUUUACUAUCUUCGUACUCUAAUUGUGUUGUGUUGUGGAUUCUAAGUUCCUAUUUAAGUGAUUAAAUAUAAUAGGAAAUUAUUUCUUAAAAUUUAUGUUAAUUUGAAUUGUUGACAUGAUUGAGUUAAUUACCUUUUGAUUUGAUUUGUGUUUAUAACUUUGAUUUUUUGCUCUUUCGUUAUAGUAGAUAAUUAGAAAUAAUUUUUUCUAUUGAUGGGCUACUAUAAGUUUGAAAUUAUGAAUUUAAUUGGUGUGAUACAAAUUAUCGAUUGAUAGACCUUGUCUUUAAGGUCAUUACAUGAUUAUUAAAAUUUUGAUCUUGCUAAUGUAGUCAAUUUAGAAAGUUAGCGGUGAUUUUGAAGUAGUAGCAAAUUCAUAUUAAUAAUAAUAAUAAUAAUUCUUGAAUAUUAGAUGGUGGUAGAACUUAGAAGUUUAAAAAAAAAUUACGUGAAAGAGUUAGAGUUGACUUAUUUUGUAAAAUAAAAAGUAACUUUUGUUUGAAGUACUCUGGAUUAUUUCAAAAAAAAAAAAAAAUUAAAUUGAGUUGAAUUUUUAUUGUUCAUAAAGUAACAAUAAUUCUAUAUUAUAGAUUUUAUUUACUACUUAAAAUAGCUGAAAAUUUACACCAUAAUUUACGAUGUGUAAUUUUUAAGAAAAUAAAAAAGAUUUGUUGUGAUGUUGGUUUAGAGGGGAUGUGGAUAGUGAAUUUGGGGUGUUAGGAUAUUUGUUUGAAAUUAUUUAUUUAGAUAAUAUUAACUUAUAAGAGUUUAACUUGAUAUUAGAGUCUUAGAUUUUAAGAACUCAGUAGUGAUUUAUAAUGGUACAAAAAAGGUCACAUGAUAAAAUGUCUACUAAUUGAGAAAGAGAAAGAAAACCAAAAAAAAAUAUUAAUUAUUAUUAUUAUUUUAUUGAAAUACAAUUUAGAGAGAAAAAAAGGAUGUUUCUUUCUAAACUUUGAGUUCAAUGGAAAAUAUAUCUCUUAUGUUUAAAGUUUUAAUUUUGACUAGAAAAUCCUUAUUUUUUUAUUUUAAAUUGAUAUAUGAAAAAAAAACUUGAGAUUGUCUUCAUUAGUAUUGUUAUUGGUUUUAAGUUAAUGGUGUAGAUAUUAUUGUCAAUUAAAAAUCUUGUCUUGAAAAAUAGUUAUGAAAUUUAAAAAUUCAGUUUUUAUAUGGGCACUUAACUUGAUUUUAUCAAAAGUGAAAAUCACUUGAAAAUGUUGAUGGUUGUAUCUAAUUGAUUAAAANNNNNNNNNNNNNNNNNNNNNNNNNNNNNNNNNNNNNNNNNNNNNNNNNNNNNNNNNNNNNNNNNNNNNNNNNNNNNNNNNNNNNNNNNNNNNNNNNNNNNNNNNNNNNNNNNNNNNNNNNNNNNNNNNNNNNNNNNNNNNNNNNNNNNNNNNNNNNNNNNNNNNNNNNNNNNNNNNNNNNNNNNNNNNNNNNNNNNNNNNNNNNNNNNNNNNNNNNNNNNNNNNNNNNNNNNNNNNNNNNNNNNNNNNNNNNNNNNNNNNNNNNNNNNNNNNNNNNNNNNNNNNNNNNNNNNNNNNNNNNNNNNNNNNNNNNNNNNNNNNNNNNNNNNNNNNNNNNNNNNNNNNNNNNNNNNNNNNNNNNNNNNNNNNNNNNNNNNNNNNNNNNNNNNNNNNNNNNNNNNNNNNNNNNNNNNNNNNNNNNNNNNNNNNNNNNNNNNNNNNNNNNNNNNNNNNNNNNNNNNNNNNNNNNNNNNNNNNNNNNNNNNNNNNNNNNNNNNNNNNNNNNNNNNNNNNNNNNNNNNNNNNNNNNNNNNNNNNNNNNNNNNNNNNNNNNNNNNNNNNNNNNNNNNNNNNNNNNNNNNNNNNNNNNNNNNNNNNNNNNNNNNNNNNNNNNNNNNNNNNNNNNNNNNNNNNNNNNNNNNNNNNNNNNNNNNNNNNNNNNNNNNNNNNNNNNNNNNNNNNNNNNNNNNNNNNNNNNNNNNNNNNNNNNNNNNNNNNNNNNNNNNNNNNNNNNNNNNNNNNNNNNNNNNNNNNNNNNNNNNNUUUUAGUUUUAUGAUUGUUAUAUUAACUUCGAGUAAAAAUAGUUGCUUACUUUACUUGCUAAUUGAAAAAUAUUUGUUUUAAUUUUGUUAAAUGAUAAAGAUUGAUUAAAAAAGAUGGUGAAUUAUUAAUUUAAUUGUGAUAAAUUUCUGGUUGUUGGAUAGCUAUGAGAAUAUUUUACAUCAUGAUGCUAAUUAUUGAAUUACUUAUAUGUAUGUAUAUGUGAUUAGGUGAAUAUGAAAGUGUUUGUGUUUCAGAUGUUCUAAGUGUUGGGAAUUUGUGAAUAGUUUUUAGCGUAAUUGAGUGCUUAAAAGGGAAAUAAUGCUAUAUUUCUUUAUUUUAAUUGGCGAUUCAUAUUGAUGUAAGUGUCAUUUCUUUUAUUGUUAUACCUAGUUGUAAAUUAUAAAUAAUUAUUGGAAAUGUGUAAUUAAGUGGGUUAAGGAGUAGGAGUUGUGGUGUCGCCUUCGCACUUCCGAACCACGUUAAAGAUACUCUUAAUUACCCAUAUUUGAAGUUUGAUGACGCAAUUAUGGUUAUCCUAAGUAGUUGACUACAUGAGUAAUAGAGACUAGCUACCCCGAUGACUCAUCGUCGAUAAAAGAGGCAACAAUAACCCAUUGAGUGAUUAUAAGUUUUAUGUGACAUCAAUGUUGAAUGCCGAUAAUGGUUUAUGUAGCAUGAAUAAUGGUUGGAGUGAAUUUUAAAACUAUGUGAAAAUAUUUGUCCACUUCCACCAUGUUUAUGUCCUCUAGUUCUUGAUUUGUAAGAAAUUGCUUAUGAUACGGAUUUUUAUGUGUGUCUCUAUUUAAAAUUCAUAAGGGUAUGAAAUAAUUGAAAUAUUGCUCCAUCUUUCUUACUUAAGGGAAACUUGUUGAGAAAGUGAUAAUAUUUAAAUUUGUUUAGAGUAAAACUAAAAAAUCAUUGUUUGAGUAGUUAGUUGAAGUUAAUAAUUCAUUUGACAUAUUUUCGUUUCAUUGAGUUUGAGGUAGUAAGUUGGUGGUUACUAAAUCUAUAAGUUUGUUUAUUUCGUAAAUUAUAGUGGGUAAUUGUGGUAUUUCAUUCAUGAUUGAAAUAUUAGUUGUGAUUGCUUAAAUGAUUCGUUGUGUCAUGUUAGUCUGUACUUAAAUGAGUAUUGAUUACAUUUAAUAUGUUUAUAGACUAAGUUUGAAUCUUGAGGGUGAAUAGUUAGAUGUCAGUUCACUUAUUAUUUACUUCAAAUUUGGAGGACGAAAUUUCUUAAACAAUGGGAGAAUUGUAACACCCUAAAUUUUAUAAUAAACUGUUUUAUUAAUUAAAUAGGAUUUUAAAUAAUUAAUUUGAUGUUGAAAUUAUUUUAGAAUAUAUGUUAAUAAAUUUUGUGACUAAUUUUCGUUAUAUUGAUGUUUUCUAUGAUGAGCUAGUUUGAUAGAUACUAUAUUAAAUGAGCAAUAUAAAUAAUAAAUAUAUUUUUUAAUUAUUUUAUAUAUUUUUCUAAAAAUAAUAGUAUUUUAGUGUAAUAUUUUAAACAAAUAAGAUUUUAUUCGAUUUUAAGUGUAUAUGUUUGUUGAUAACUAAUAUGAUAUUUUCUUAUAUGUUUGACUACUGUUAAGUGUGUACAUAUUUAUAUUUUAAUCAUUUUUAAGUAUCUCUUAUUUUAAUUAUUUCUAAAUAUAUCUUACUUUAAUUAUUUUUUUGAUAAUAUUUUUAUAUAUAUAUAUAUAUAUAUAUAUAUAUAUAUAUAUAUAUAUAUAUAUAUAUAUAUAUAUUAUGAUUUAGUAAUUAACAUAAAAUAUUGUUGUUAUAUUUAUUUAUUUUAUAAUUUUGACUAUUCUCUAAUGAUAAUAUUAUUCUAACGUGAGUAUUUUGAAAAAAUAAGUAAAAUUGUAGUGAUUAAUUUGAAUAUGAGAGUUUGGCUUGUUACUAAUAUAUAUAUAUUUUUUAAAGGUUAAUUAUUUUAAUUACUCUAAUUCAUCAUAUAUUAGUUAUGAAAUAUUAGUAAUGUUUUGAAAAUUAAUUGAUGUUUGGAAGAGUAUUAAAAAUGAGAUUAAGUAACAAUUGAUUUUGUUUUAGCAAAAUAAAAAUAAUAACAUUAAAACAUAAAAUAAAUAACGGGACCAAUGGGUUUGACCCAUAUAUGUUAACUCUAAUUAUGUUGAUAAAAUAAAAAAAAUAAAGAAUAAGAAAGGGAGCUUCAACAGUCGUAGAACUAAAGAGUAAUUACAACAACAACAUAUUGUUUGGCAUCGGUGAUCGAGAACUGUCUCGGAAAAGUUUUUCUGUUUUCGUCCAAAUUUCAGUAUGUUGUUUUACUCAUUUAGCUAGUUAAUUAAAUACAAUUUUUUUAGAUUUUUAACAACUCCAAUUUCGCUCUAAAAUACUCGACUUCUCCGGUUGUGGAAUUCAUUAUUUUGCAUCGUUCUCCUUCACCGUAAGUCCGCUUUCAGUGAAACCAACACCAAAACGACCGUGUGAAAAGUGACUAUAUUAUCCAUUGAUUGGCUUUCUGAUUUAUGGUAAGUUUCCUUGAUCGAAUUUCGAAAUUUAGUUUUUAGCGCGUCUUCUCAUAAUUUAAUUUAACGUUCACCCAUAUAUUGUCGAGUUAGAUCGAUUGAAGGACAAAGAGUCAAAGGACAAAGGCUGUUUUCUUGUGGAAUCAUAUUCAUGUGUGAAAGCGUCAAAAUAAGUUAAGGAGUGAGAGAGCGUUUGAAUUCAUGAGUAUAAUAUAAUAUCAUUUGGGGCUCGCUACAUACGGCAGUAGCCUUUUGAGUAAUAAAUUGAUUAAGGUAAAAAUAUUGGAAUUGUGAGAUUAAAAUAUGGAAUAGAAAUAUUUAUAAGAUAUUGAUUGAUUACUUCGUUAAAUGUGUGAUAUUUGAUAUUAGAUUUUGAAUGAAUUUUAUGUAUAUGUUUGAUUACACGUGUUUAUGUGAUGUGAUAAUAAAAAUUGAAUUAUUUUGAUACGUUUGCGUGAUUAUGAUGAUAUAUAAUUAAUAAUAAUGAUGUUAUAAAUUUGUGUCAAGCCUAUGUGAUGAUGUAUGAUUGAUGAUAGUGAUGCUAUAUAUUUGUAAUGAGUUUAUGUGAUGAUAUAUGAUUAAUGAUAUUGAUGUUGUGAAUUUUUUAUGAGUAUUUAAGUAACCCCAUAGUUGGUAAAAUAAUUGUGAUUCCAAUUUGUGUUUGAGAUGACGGUCUUAAUGAAUUAUCAUAGGCCAACGAGGGGAGAAAAUAAAUAUUGAGAAAUAUAAAGUGAAUAUUAUUUUGUCAUCAUAUCGGGAAGGUCUGACAAGCCUAGAAAUUUCGGGGAAGUACAACUAAAUGAGCCUGAUCAUGGCGGUCUGCUGUAGAGCCUUCAGGCAAGAUUGUUAGACCUUGGAGGUAUUCGGGUGGGGAAUUUCUAGGUGACUUGGAGGUAGCACUCCAAAUGUCGGGAGCUACCACGCAACACACGUUUACCUCGACUGUUACGUAUAUGUGUCUCGGGUUGAGUUGAGGGGAUCUAUGAGGACAGGGCCAAUUUGAAUUGUCCGUCCACUGGGAUGGUGGCAUAGUAUCAAGCCUCCUAACCAAGUACUUUAGAGUUAGAAUGGUACCACAUUGUGAAGUAGAGUCUAAGCUCAUGCAUAGCAUUGCAUUUUAUUGUGAUUGUUUUGUUGUGAUUAAUAUGUAUCGUGUGUGGUAAUAAUUUAUCUUAGACGAUUUCAUGUUAUAGUGAAAUUUAUUAAUUUUCCUUGAGUGAUUUUGAGUUUUUAAUGUGAUAUUUUCUUGAUUGAAUGUUUAUGUAAUGAUAAGGUUCUAUUAUGAUUGUUUGUGUGUUCUUCUUACUUGUAUUAUACUUUUAUCAUGAUUUCGAAACUCACCUCCUUCGUUGUUUGUGUUUGACUGGCGUGGCCCUGCCUUUGCAAAAUCGCAGUUAUUACAGGUUAAUGAGUCUUGAAGUUCAAGUUUGGGAGGAACCUCGCUCUGAUAGGUGAUACAGGGAAUAAGGGUUUUAAUUUGUAUUUUACUUAUUUAAUUUGAAAAGAAUUUUUGUAUGAAAAUCUUAGAAGUACUAGUAAAUUUUUAAAAUUAAAUCAAGUAAUUAUACUUAAAUGAAGCUUAUUGAGAUUGCACUAUUUUAAUGAGGAAAAUAAGUUUAAAGUGUUCUUUUUUUUUUUUUAGAAACGUGAUAUCCGAAUUAAACAUAAAAGUUUUUAUUUUCUUGGAAAUAGAUUUUUAUUUAUCCGCUGCUAAUUUUAUAGGAAUAUGAUAUAAUUUAUUAUAUAAAUUGUUUUGGGGUUUAGGGUGUUACAUAAAGUAUAUGAGAAAUUAAUAAUAGUGAAGAGAAAUUCACAGCUACUAUUGUAGUCAGGGACGUGUCAAUGAUUUUGGAAGUUUAAUUCGUAUUUAAAAAUUGAGUCCUCUAAAAUUACAAAACUCUAACAUUUAGAUUCAAUAUUCUAAUAUCUGUUGAUGAAUGACGGCGUCUUGUAGGUUACGGCUGCUGCACAUAUUCACCGUGGUGGAAAUUUAAGUUUUAUUCUGGAUAUAAGAUUUAAAUAUAAAAAGUGGUAUUCAUUCUAGACAAAAGAUAUAAAUAUAAAAUUUUAAAGUGUUCAACUUACAAAAUUAAAAUAUCAAUAUAAUUUUUUAAAGAUUAAAGUAUAUUGUAAGAAAAGUUUGAAAUCCUCCCUAAUUGGAGAUGUCAUGCUAAUAUUUUGAUUGCACUUAUUGAUAAUUAACCCUAACCGGAGUGUAGAUACCUUUCACAAACUCAGAAUUUGUUUUUAAUUAAAAAGUAUACUAUAAUAAUGAGUAGGCACCAAUAGUAUCUUUGCUUAAAAAUAAUAUUAGUUUCAAAAUUGUCAAGGUAGCAAGUUCCAAAAUUCAAUAACUGGUUGAUAUUUAGUAUAAGCUAAAUUAUUAAAAAUAAUUAUUUGUUUAUUACUUUACUAUUUUCGGAAGUUAUUGAUAAAGGAAAAUAAUUAAUAGAUUAUAGAUGGUGAAUUUACCUUAGAUAUAUACCAGUAUUUGUGUAUUUACAAUGUUUUUAACAAUCUCGCAUAUUAUAAUCAUAUUCAUAGAUAUAAAGAAUUUUCUUUAUGUUUAAUUUAGUUCUUCGGUUAAGUUAUUUAAUUUUUUUAUUUAAUCAUUUAAGUGACACGUCGUUUGUAAUAAAUUUUAUACUUUGAUUUGUUUGCAUAACUAGAUUGUUUUUAGAGAUUUUAAUAAUUAAAUGUCAUGCUGCGGUUAUAAUGUUAACGUGUGUAUAAUAAUACGAGUGCGAUAAUUAUAAAAAUAAAUGAUUAUCAUAUUAAUCUUUUAUGUUUUGUUUAGAAAAAUUCUAAGAACCACAUUGACUUUUCAUUUUUUAGGUUAGAAGAAUUUUAAGAAUUUUUAAAAUUUUUUAUUUUUAAGAAAAAUGAAUUUAAAAAAUAUAUUUAUUUUUUAUUUUGCAACAUCAACACUAUUAUAAACAUAUUAAUAACUUAAAGGCCACAUUAUAUUUUUUUAACAGAACUUAUAAAAAAUAACAUUAUAUUUAUGUAAGUGUAUUAUAACUUAAAAGUUAAGUAGCUAAUGAGAUACAAAUUAAAUGACUAAAUCAAAAAUAAAUAAAUAAAACUUAUAGACAUCAAAGGAAAUUGAGAAAAAUUUAGAAGAGUAAUUUUUUUAUCGUGUCAAUAACUAUUUUUUAUUGACAACGUAUGAUAAUUAUGUUUACCGAAAGUCUAGAAUUAUGUUUAUUAUUAAAGAAAUUAUCAAGCAACCUCGUAGUUGUCAAAGUUUAAACACUUUACCUACCUCAAUAACCCUUCAAUGGCUCAAUGUUCUCGAAAUCCAAUUAAAUAAUAUAUUAUUUAAUAAAUCUACUUUUGAUUUUCAUACCUAUUUAUCUUGCUGAGUAUAUUCAUAUGUUUCACAACAAUUAAAUUCUUAGAAAUUGUAGUGAUGAAAAUCAAAGCUUUUAAUUUGUGUUUCCUUUGUGCAUUGUUUCUUUUAUCUGUUGUGGCAACAGAGACAUUAAAAGAAGGUAAACAAUAUACAAAAGAGUCAAAGAAAAAUGUUUUGGUAGAUAAGCUUGAUGGUGGGCGAAAACCCAUAGAUAUAGAAUCUUUUGAUCAAAAUAAGCCCGUUGGUGCGGGAAAUUUAACAAGGGAAGAAAGGAUUAUGGCAUUGAAAGCAGAGAUGAAAGCAAAGAUGAAGGAAAGGGAAGCAAAGAAGAAGGAAAGGGAAGCAAAGCUGAAGGAAUUGGAAGCAAAGAAGACGGAAAGAAAAUUACACC